This 508-nucleotide ribosomal RNA is filed under the name uncultured bacterium. RNAcentral describes it as "bacterial SSU rRNA". It matches the Rfam family "Bacterial small subunit ribosomal RNA", at positions 8 to 507 of the family's 1533-position model. The record is from RNAcentral.
AGAGUUUGAUCAUGGCUCAGAGUGAACGCUGGCGGCAGGCCUAAUACAUGCAAGUCGAACGGCAGCACAGCAGAGCUUGCUCUGUGGGUGGCGAGUGGCGGACGGGUGAGGAAUACGUGGGAAUCUGCCCAGUCGUGGGGAUAACGUAGGGAAACUUACGCUAAUACCGCAUGCGCCCUUCGGGGGAAAGCCGGGGACCUUCGGGCCUGGCGCGAUUGGAUGAGCCCACGUCGGAUAAGCUAGUUGGCGGGUAAAGGCCCACCAAGGCGACGAUCCGUAGCUGGUCUGAGAGGAUGAUCAGCCACACUGGAACUGAGACACGGUCCAGACUCCUACGGGAGGCAGCAGUAGGGAAUAUUGGACAAUGGGCGCAAGCCUGAUCCAGCCAUGCCGCGUGAGUGAAGAAGGCCCUCGGGUUGUAAAGCUCUUUUGUCCGGAAAGAAAAGCGCCGGGUUAAUACCCUGGUGUCCUGACGGUACCGGAAGAAUAAGCACCGGCUAACUUCGUG